RNAcentral lists this transfer RNA (73 nucleotides) under Camelus bactrianus (Bactrian camel). It matches the Rfam family "tRNA". Rfam says of the family: Transfer RNA (tRNA) molecules are approximately 80 nucleotides in length. Lineage: Eukaryota; Metazoa; Chordata; Mammalia; Artiodactyla; Camelidae. The record is from Rfam by way of RNAcentral. RNAcentral also lists the same sequence under 2 other names.
GGAGGUAUAGCUCAGUGGUAGAGUAUGUGCUUAGCGUGCUAUGAGGACCUCAGUUCAAACCCCAGCACCUCCA